UUCUCCCUUGUCCUCUGUGAGUCAUUUCUCUUAUUUAUUUGUUGACUUAGUGCCUAAGUGACAUGCGUGUUUCAUGUCUCUCUCCUGUCACUCUGUUCCCAACAUCUGCGAGAGUGCCUCACACAUAGCAGGCGCUCGUAGUUGCAGAGUGAGGGCGGGGCAAGCAGCUGCCCAUGCUAAGGCUGGAGACGAGUGAAGAGCUGGGGCUGCGGGUGAGACAUCUGCCGGUGACACCCGCAGCUCCUCCCUCCUCCUUCCUUUCUUCUCCUUUCCUCUGCCUUCCCUGACUUGCCUCCUUCCCUCCUUCUGACCCUCCCAUAUCCUCCUCCAUCCCUGGGAGUAGAGGAGGAUCCUGUCCAUACUCACGUAUGCCUCCUCCCAGGGGUGUGCCAAGCACCCAGAAAUCCCCUGCUCUCAGCCACCUCUUCAGGCCUGGGAACCAGCCCCCUCCAGGCUGCGUGUGGCCCAGAAGGUGUGCUCCCUGCUGAUCUGCCAGGAGGCAGUGGUGGCCGAGGCUCAUCAUGCGGGUUUUGACUUUCCAGCUCUACCGUGUCUCCAGUGUCCACGAGUCAACGCCAGUGGGGUUUGCGAGACUGGGGAAAGUGUCUGCGAGACUCAAGGCAGCCAGCGGUGCUUCCUGAGGAAGGUCUACGAAGACGACACCCUUUCAUAUGGAUACCAAGGUUGUAGCAGUGUGUGUUUCCCUUUGAUGCUCUUUAAUCCGGCUGUUACUUUGGAGGAGAGAUGUUGUAAUGACUCACCUUUCUGCAACAAGUUCGAAAGAUGGGACCCAGCUUUGCCCUGAGCUGGUGGAUCAAGCUGACUCAACGUACCUUUCAACUCUCGUGAGCUUUAAGACGACAUGCACUGAACACGGGGAGAAAUCGCAAACUAGGUCUGUGUCAGGCCCAGCCACCUUUUCUCUUCCUCGUUAUGAUAUGCCACUGGGAUAUUUUAAAAUCAAACCGGGGCGAAGAGUGGUGGGCAUAGGUGGGUCCAGGCGUGCCUUCUUCCUUUCGAGGACCACACUGAUUUGCACUUUAAAAAGGCAAGGUCUGGGGUUUGUGAUUCUGCGUGGUUCUGGAGGCAGCCAGCUGAAGGAAGAGGGAGAGUCCUGAGAUGCUGAAAAGGAUAGGAAAUGAGGUGGCCAUAAAUGAUGCAUUAGUUGGUGUAGGCGGGCUGCUGUGACAAAAAUCUCUGAAAUGGCGGUGUCCUAAAACAAUAAAAAAUGAAUGCUCACCCAU
This is a long non-coding RNA of Leopardus geoffroyi (Geoffroy's cat), 1244 nucleotides long. RefSeq lists it as uncharacterized. Lineage: Eukaryota; Metazoa; Chordata; Mammalia; Carnivora; Felidae. The transcript has 2 exons. The record is from RefSeq and is a predicted model, not a curated record.